RNAcentral lists this ribosomal RNA (1358 nucleotides) under Lynchius oblitus. Its description in RNAcentral is "partial 16S ribosomal RNA". It matches the Rfam family "Bacterial large subunit ribosomal RNA", at positions 277 to 2620 of the family's 2925-position model. Lineage: Eukaryota; Metazoa; Chordata; Amphibia; Anura; Strabomantidae. The record is from RNAcentral.
GUACCGGAAGGUGUUCUUGGAAUGAGAUAUAGCUUAAUAAAAGCAUAUUGCUUACACCAAUAUAAUGCCUGUUAAACUCUGGCUGUCUCAAGCUGAAAAUCUAGCCCCCCUAACCCCCACACCUCAAUUAAAAACUAAAAUAUUUUUAUAACAGAGUAAAGACGAUUGAAAAACUAGCAAGAGCAAUAAAAAUGUACCGCAAGGGAUAAUUGAAAUAGAAAUGAAACAAAUCUAAAGCCUUAAAAAGUAGAGCUCAUCUCUCGUACCUUUUGCAUCAUGGUUUAACUAGUUUAAUUAAGCAAAACGACUUAAAGUUUAACUCCCCGAAACUAAGUGAGCUACUUCAGGACAGCCCAAGGGCCAACCCCCCGACGUUGUAAAGUCGCGGGAAGAUCCUGAAGUAGAGGUGAUAUACCUAACGAACUUAACAAGUACUAAAAACAUAAAUUUGUCUUUAGAGUAAUUCAACCAAGGAACAGCUUGUUUGAAUCAGGACACAACCUUAACCCCAGGAUAAUGAACCCCCGAAUACAACUAAGUGGGCCUAAAAGCAGCCAUCUAACAAAAGCGUUAAAGCUUUACUGUUUUCCAAAAAAUACCUUACAUUUUACAGACUCCUUCAAUAGUACUGAGUACAUCUAUAUUUAUAGAAGAUUUUAUGUUAAAACUAGUAACAAGAAGUCAUCCUUCUCCUCAAUGCAAGUAUACCCCAGCAAGGACCUCCCACUGGAAAUUAACACCCCCCCCCUCGCCUGUUUAUCAAAAACAUCGCCUCUUGAGUUAUAUAAGAGGUCCAGCCUGCCCAGUGACUUUUGUUUAACGGCCGCGGUAUCCUAACCGUGCGAAGGUAGCGUAAUCACUUGUUCUUUAAAUAAGGACUAGUAUGAAAGGCAUCACGAGGGCCAAGCUGUCUCCUUUUUCUAAUCCGUGAAACUAAUCUUCCCGUGAAGAAGCGGGAAUGUUUUUAUAAGACGAGAAGACCCUAUGGAGCUUUAAAUGAACACCACCUACAUUUUAUUUUUCAAUUCCAGAAAAUCAACAAAUACAAUGACCCCCCUGGCUGUAAAUUUUAGGUUGGGGCGACCGCGGAGAAAAACCUAUCCUCCUCAUUGUUAAAGAAUUUAUCCUAAACAAAAGCAACAACUUUAUGUAUCAAUAAAAUUGACAUCUAUUGACCCAUUAUUUGAUCAACGAACCAAGUUACCCUAGGGAUAACAGCGCCAUCCACUUUAAGAGCUCAUAUCGACAAGUGGGCUUACGACCUCGAUGUUGGAUCAGGGUAUCCAAGUGGUGCAGCCGCUACUUAAGGUUCGUUUGUUCAACGAUUAAAACCCUACGUGAUCUGAGUUCAGACCGGA